Molecule: unclassified non-coding RNA, 2098 nt
Filed under: Agrilus planipennis (emerald ash borer)
Lineage: Eukaryota; Metazoa; Arthropoda; Insecta; Coleoptera; Buprestidae
Description: uncharacterized LOC112905920, transcript variant X1
Source: RNAcentral
UUCAGUUUUCAUUUAAUUAAACUUCGUAUUAUUCGAAGAAAAUUAUCGACAAUAAUAAUAGUGCUAGCCUUCCUAUUUCGGUUUCCGGUUUCUUUGAGGGGCGUUACACUUUGUUCAAAAGAUUUUGCCUGACAGUUUUUUCUUAAAAUUACAAACUAUUAUUAGGUCAACUUCUUCCAACUUGACAUUUCUCAAGGUAUUUUGAGUUGAACGUUCCACAAAUCGAAUAGGAAGUGGUGAGUGGACUCAGUUACUAUUGUGUCCUAUCAUGUGCUGGUACGUCCAUGGAUUAUUAUUAUAGUCAAUAAUACUAAACAACAACUAUUUCCUGAAACUUUGACUUCAUUAGACUCAUGAUUUAUUUCGGUUUUCUAUCCUGACUCAAUUUUCGCAUUUUCCCAAAACUAGAAUAUCCCACAUUCCUAACUAUUUAAUUAUUUCUCUUUUUCUGUCCCUAUUCGCUCUUGCUUUUGUUUCUAACAAGUCUCUAACUAUCCCUUAAUGUCCCAGGAUGUGCCCUUCCAUUCUGUCUGUCCUAUUCAUAGCUAUCAUUUUCAUCAUCCAAUUUUAAAAUCACAUUUCAAACUAAUCUAGCGUGAAGAUAAUGAAUAAUUUAAUAAAAUAAUGAAUUCCCUGAUAAAGAAAUAGGCUCGUUUUUGUAAGGUAUUUCUACAUGUGUUUAGAAUAACAUUCAUCGGCAGUAUUAGUCUAUUUAUGACAUUGCAAAAUGCAGAAUAGAGUGCAUUUUCCAAGUUCUUUCGGCUUCUUGUGGGUGGGCACUUUCUCCGGAUUACGCUAGAGGGUAGGGCAGAACACCUUCAACCUCCUUUUAGGAAUCCUGGAAAUGGAUGAGUGAUGGUCAGUGUGAGAAAGAUGAGAUUGACGAAAUAAAAACAGGAGAAUGAAGGAUUAUUUGUAAAAUAUUAGUGCCCUAGCAUUUGUCUAAGUGAUUUGUGGAAAUCACUGAAAAACUCAGACCAGGGCAGAUGCAGAUGGACCUGGUGCGCGGGCCGUCUCUCAGGACUAUGCCGGAGGGUAGAAGGCCCUCUUUAAUAUCUUUUUAGAAAUCAUGGGAAUUGGUAGGUAGUAGUUGAGAUGAGAAAGACGAAACGGAGAAAAUGAAGACAGAAGAGAGUUAAAUAUCAUAUAUGGAAUAUUACUCUACCAGCAUGCGCCUGAAUGAUCCAAGGAUCAAGGAAAUCGUAGUGAACAUGGAUCAGGGCAAAUGUAGAUGGACCUGGAAUCCAAUUGGUGUCCUCUGGAAUGCUAAGGAAUGGUCUAAAGUUUAAACCUCUAAGCUAUGACGCUCAGUACAUACUGAAAAAAAAAAAAUAAGAAACUCUUUUGCUACUAAAAAGUUUGAACAAGGGCAAACGGCCCCGGAAUUGAACCCACGUCUUCCCGAAUGUUAAGCAAUGGUCUAAACCUUCAGGUCAUGCUGUAAGGUUAACAUAUACUGACUGAAAAUGGAUUUAAAUACUGAUUCCAUUUGAUUCAUCUUGUGAUUUUCUUCCUAUCAAUUGUGUAGAUUGUGCAUUGGGAGAGAUUCACUUCGUAAUUUUUAAUGAAUCAAGGCCGGCUGAGUUUUCUUUCUCAAAACUUAAGUAAUUGAAAAAUGUGAGCGUAUGAUUCUCAUUUAAUUCGAUUGUUUCGUGCCUGGUCGCCUGUACUCGGCUGUGACGUCACCAGGUGUUUUCGUCUACCUGUCGUCAUCGACAAUAAUCCAUGAAGUGAACGGUAGCGUGAAUACUGUGGUCAGUCCUAUGUGGAUUCUCGCGACGUAGAAAUUCGACUGUUUUCCGACUAGUCGACGAUUGAGUGCACCCUAGUGUGUGGAUUUUCAACCCUUCUCAUUUCCCGGUGCGUGCGUGCUUUUUGUUGUGCGUUCCCACCGACGUUGACGUCCUGACGCGGUGUGAUCAGUGCAGUGCGUUAAAACGGGAUCGCGACAGUGCAAGUGAAAAUCGGAUAAAUUGGAAUACCAUUAUCGAUUCUCUUGGCCACAUGUGAAAAGCUCUGGACUUAGACCUGUGUUCCAGCAGUGUGCAAGAUGCGUUUGUCAUUGCGGUGGAACAGCAGGCCAGGGAGCGAUUGGAGC